GAUGAACGCUAGCGACAGGCCUAACACAUGCAAGUCGAGGGGCAGCAUGGUAUCAGCUUGCUGAUACCGAUGGCGACCGGCGCACGGGUGAGUAACGCGUAUGUAAUCUGCCUGUAACAGAGGGAUAACCCGGAGAAAUCCGGCCUAAUACCUCAUAAUACAUAUUAUUCGCAUGAGUUUUAUGUUAAAGAAAUUCGGUUACAGAUGAACAUGCGUUCCAUUAGCUGGUUGGCGGGGUAACGGCCCACCAAGGCGACGAUGGAUAGGGGUUCUGAGAGGAAGGUCCCCCACACUGGUACUGAGACACGGACCAGACUCCUACGGGAGGCAGCAGUGAGGAAUAUUGGUCAAUGGGCGAGAGCCUGAACCAGCCAAGUCGCGUGGAGGAUGAAGGUCCUACGGAUUGUAAACUUCUUUUAUACGGGAAUAAAGUUUCCUACGUGUAGGAUUUUGUAUGUACCGUAUGAAUAAGCAUCGGCUAACUCCGUGCCAGCAGCCG
RNAcentral lists this ribosomal RNA (499 nucleotides) under uncultured bacterium. Its description in RNAcentral is "bacterial SSU rRNA". It matches the Rfam family "Bacterial small subunit ribosomal RNA", at positions 28 to 517 of the family's 1533-position model. The record is from RNAcentral.